AACAUUGUUUGAAAACUUGAGUAAGGAAAUAAUUUAAUUACAGAAAUCCUUCACUGAAGUGUAUGAGAAAACCCAGAGGUACAUCAGUAGCAUGAGUCAACAAUAAGAAUUGCUGACUUAUUUAGAAACAGUUGCAGGUCAAGGGAUGACACAGGGUGUUUGCUAGCAUUGGAACAGAUGUCAGAUUGUGGAAUUUUUCACAAAUGCUUGUAUUUUUAUGAUUAUUUAAUAAGUGAUGAAAAAAGGGCCGUCUUUCAGUACAAACAAAUCAGUGCAGUGAAUAACAUAGGAAAUUGUCCUUUCAGAUUUCUGUGUGAUCAUAUAAAUUUGAGACAAUUUCAUUGUGUAAAGCAGGAGAACAAAAGCUUUGUAAUAGCUUCUAGCAACGUCUAAAUAACUAUGGUACCACCCAUAAGUUGACCAAAACUAAUCUGUUUAUUUCUAUGAACAGACUAAGCAAACAUCAGACUGUAUGAAAUGUACCUACUGCUAUAGGAGCCAUUAUCUCAAAAGCUGUUCUUUUUUAAUCUCUUGAACCUGAAUGGCCAAUUUUCUGUCUCAUUAUGUUAAACCACAUGCGAACGUAAAAGACUUACGGGGUCCAGACCACAUCUGACAGGCAGUUUCAUUUGGCAUUCAAAGUGUCUUUUCUUCUCACUGAAUGAGAGAAAGAAAAAGGAAGAUACUAAAUAUGAAAGAAAAAAAAAAGGGGGGGUUUCAUCUGCCUCCCAGGUCUUCAUGUUGGCAGCUGUCAAAUUACCAUUUUUUUAUAGGGAACCUCUUGUUUAUCUCAGGAGUGUGAUUGCUAUUCCCAGAGCUUGAUAAACAGUUGACCUGGUCUUCAGUUUCUUUAGGAAGGUGCUUUCCCUCUUCCUGCUCAAUGCUCAGUAUUAUUAAUUGUUGUGGAAUAGGAAUAAGGAAAUAGUUCAGAGGAGAAUUUUUUUUUAUUAGGUGAGUUCAAAUGUAGUUGUUAAUGAACACGUGCAUUUGCAAGUUUACUUCUCUGUAGCAGCCAUCACAGUGCUGUGCUCUGUGUCUGCAGCUGGAAAGUUGUGGAUACCUUUCCAAGGUAUCAGGCUUCUGCUGAAGUACCAGACUUCUGCUAAACAGUGCCCACAGCACCAAGGCUGUCUCUCCAAACUCAGCCCCCUGCCAAAAAGGCCAGUAGGCUGGGUGUGGACAAGAUGUUGGCAGGGGACAUAGCCAGGACAGCUCAUUCAAGCUGCCCAAAGAGAUAUUCCAUACCAUAUGACUUGCUCAUCAAUGAAGGCUAAGAGAAAGGGGGGAGGGAGGCGUUUGUUACUAAGGCAUUUGUCUUCCUGAGUAUCUGCUGCAACGCUUCGGUCAGACUGUGGCUGCUCAUUGCCUGCUGAUGGGAAGUAGAGGAUAAAACAUUUUUUUGUUUGUUUGGGUUUUUUUUGCUUCUGCAUGCAGCCUUUGCUUUUCUGUGUUAGAUUGCCUUUCUCUCAGCUCACGGGGGUUUUUGUAUCUUAUUUUCUUCGCCCCAUCCUGUGAAGGAUGGAGAGUGAUGGAGCAGCUUGGUGGGUACCUGACAGCCAGCCAAGGUGAACCCACCGCUUCAUGUCAUACUUUCUUUUGCUUUUGUGAUGAUUAGCUUUUUCAUACUAGGAACUUGAAACUAAGUCAUUGCCUCUCAUUACAUAUUUAAAGCAGACAUAUGAGUGAACUUUUUUGUUUUCUGGCUUUUGCUUUGUAUUGCUCAUGUUGACAUGCUCAAUAUUUGGGCUUUGAAGCUAACAUUUCAUUAGGGUGUUUAUGGAAUUUCUAACUUUGGUCAUAACAGCAUAGUAUGUGAUCAUUACCAAUACUCUGAUUCUUAAUCAAGGUCUGAGACUUUAUUAGAACUAUAAAGGAAGACAAUUAAAAAUACAGUUCCAAAGUUGGAAACAGGAAGUUUGAACUCGCCUGAACUAGGCAAGUAAUAUGGCAUGAUACUGCCUUGAGUUCAGCUGGAGUCCACAAAAUAAUGAUGACAAUGUUCAGUAGUACCUACUCAAUUGACUAUGUGAUCAUGUGGUAUCUGGCAGUAUUAAGAGAGGAUGAAUUUUCCCUUCUAAGUCUGCAGUGACCCUAUGUGCUCUGUAAGGUUGCUUUGUUGAGAGUGAGAAUUAAUGUGAUGACUAGAAACCAAGUGCUGACUCAUUCCUAUUGCUCUGUUUUUCUCUUAAUAUUUCCUUCAAAAGCUUGACCAACUUGUGGGCUGCUGUAUUUCUUGCUCAGCUAGAGAGUUUUCACUUACUGCCAGUUAGACAAUGAAUGCCAUCAGCAUUUUGUAAUACCGACAGGAAUUUUUCAGUGACCUGCACCUAUGUGGCUGCAAAAAUGCUACUAAAGGGAAUCCAGUGUAUUUUACUGAAAAAGCAGAUUUAUUUCUGGAGAAGGUUAGUUAAGUAAGUUAGCAUGAAUUUAAAUUGAAAUUUAACUUAGCAUGAAGGCAAUAAUUUAUUGUUUAUUCCACAGCAUUAAUAAAUAGGAAUAUAGCCAUAUGGUAGUCUUAAAUAAUUCUGAGCUAAAAUACUCAAGUAUCAGUAAUGAUAUAUUUGACCGUGGAGAAUUAAAAAUAGCACAUUUGCAGGUAUUUCAGUCAGUUUUAUUUGGUUUCAAAUUAUAGUUUGAGAUUAAUUCCACUUCAAACGUUGUGCAUCAUAAGUAAGUCCUUUGCAGUCAGCAAGCUGUAAUGAUAAUAGAUGAUCUCAAAGGGCUUUGGGCAGUAGUUUAAUGUUCCAGUCAAUAGUUUAAGUCAUGUGAGUCUCGUUAUAGUAAUUUUAAGGUAAAAUAAAGGUUCUUGGCCCAUAAGGACAGUCAUCAGUUCAGUUCUCUCAACAAUCCAAAAGUUAAUAUGUUCCUAAUAGCAGUUAGUCUAGUCGAGUUCUCCCUGUGACAUGCUGCAUCCUCACACAGGUCGGUGUGUGUUUCCAGAGACAGAAAAAAACCUCAGUAUCAUUGGUAAUAAUUCCAAAGUCCAUAAUGGGCUUAAGUGCAGGGAAUAGUGUCAUGUUCAUGUCCUAAAGUAUAAUUGUUUGUGUUCAUGAUGGAAAUGGAUUUUACUUGCCAGCACUGCGACUUUAUCUUCUACUGAGUUUUCUCUUUCGAAAGAAUAUUAACAGUUUACCCUAGCCAGGGACAUUGUGGUUUUCUUUUUUUUCCCCUUAAAGUAUCUUUAUGAGUGUUGGGCUCAAUAAAAACAGUUAAAUCCUACAGUAUUUCUGGAAAGUACUGGAGAAAAACCAUGUGUCCAUUUUCCACUUUGUUUGCCAACUGGUUUUCCAGUAAAUUUGAACAGGAGGUAGGCAUCUGAUUAAAGUGACUGUCUCACAACAAGCUAUGUUUUGUAUAUUAGUGGCUAAGAGAGUCUCAUUUAAUUACCAAUGCAUAUAUAAUUGUGAAUAGUGCUUUCACAGGAAGAUUUUAUAUCUUCCAUGAUGCUGCAGAGAUUCUUGUCUCUUGCAAACAGCAUUUAAAAAGGAGCUUUAAGCAGUUUAGCUGAAUGCUUUCAGGAUCUGUGUGAUUCACACAGCUUCCUUGGCAGCAACUUUUCAUUCUGCCUUGCUGUGGUUUGAGAGAGAGAGAGAGAAUGUAGCUGGAGAGCUUAUAGUAUGCUAACUGUUCACAGUUUCCAGUUGAAUUAGCUGUAAAAGACAUCUGUGUUCCUGCAGCGUUGGCUGGAAGGUGCUUGGCAUUUAUGGUACGGCUGUUAGGUUGUUUUGGAAGGUAUAACUCAAUACAUUUUCCCAGAACAAAAGAAGAUUUAAUGCAAUAUAUGGUAAAUAAGUUAGUCUUCUAAGCAUCCGAAGUUCCUCAGAAUUCGCACACAAAGUGUCGCUCAGGAGAGAAAACUUUAUGUAUGUUCUGUAUUAUCAUGUUGCUUUGAAAAGUUUAGGGCACAGUGCUAAUCGAAAUUUAGAGAGUGGAUACUCAUUCUCUGAAAUAUACCAUGUUUAUCCUGUCUUGAAGAACAACAUACACAGUUAAAAUAAUAUUAAAAUAAUUAUCCAGAAAAUUGUGUCUAAUAAUAAGUGAAUCAAAGACCGAUCCUAACGAUUCUGUGAUUUUUAGCAAACCCCUUCAUUAAAGUAGCAUCUAGCAUUAGAGUUAGCGUUGAAGUUAGCAACAGCGAGGCCUCCGCUGUGGGUAGCCCUUAUUUUGGGGGUUUUGUUAUGCAGUAGUCAGGGAUGGACCCUCACCCCCUCCCUUUUUUUUCUUUUUUGUUCCCCAAGUAGGUCUUUUUGAGCCAUCCUACCAGGAAUAUGGAGUAAUUAAUCUGAAACAGUUUCCCUGCAGCUAGGCUCUCACAAUGGGUACGUCUUCACUGCCAAUCUGGAUGUCACCCAAGCCCAUACACUGCUCUGCAGAUCCAACUGCAAAAAAAGUCAACAUUUUUGCUGAAGUGCAAGUCUGGGUUUUGCAUGUUCCACUGGUGCAGAGUAAGUAACACAAAUGCUGACAAUUAGUGACACCUGAAAUCAGAAGUAUCACUUCUACCCAGGAAGCAUUUGAAGGAAUUAGACUCAGGUGUGCAGUCAGAAGGACCUGUGUGUGUGUGAGUGUGAGUGAGUGAGAGAGCUUUUGGGGAGCUUGGGGGAGCACAGAGAGGUGCAGCCAAGGACUCAGAUUCUUGUUCUUAGUUUGCUCUUGUCUGAGAAGCAGCCAUAGCAAACAAGUCUCUUACACGUUCUAUGUGUUAGUAGGCUUUCACUGAAUUGUAAAGCAAUACUCUGAAAAUUAAAACUGUUCUUUUACAAUAGCUGUCAUUCUAGAUUUAAUUUUUGGGUGUCAUUUUUGAUUCUGUGCACAAAAUUCUUCUUAAGUUCUUUAUUGUGUGUUUUGUGAGUAGGUCUUUCUCUUUGAAAGUUUUAAUUAUCACCCACUGACUUUGGUUACAAUAGAAACAGAACAGUAAAAAUUUACAGCAAAGAUUUAACUAGAGAGUCUGUGACUUGGAAUGUCUUUAUUAAGUUUUAGAAACAGAGCUGGUAAGUAUCAGUUUUAUUUCUUAGCUGCUCACCAGAAAAUAGUGAAUAGUUGAGACUGUUUUACCUUCCUGAAAAAUCCCUCAGUUCUUCAUCAUAUAAUAUGCAACUCAUUUUCAGUUUUCUGUUUGCAUGUCUAGUACUGGUUUAUUGAUAGCUUUCUACUGGAGAAAAAUUGUGAACUGUAACUCCCUCACUCUGUUGCUUUUUUUAAAACCUCUGGAGACUGUAAAUGUUCACAUGUUUUACUGAAGGAUUGCAAAAGUAAUGUUCAUUUAUAACAUUUGAAGGAUUAUUCAUGGAAAAAUUAUGCAAAGGAAAAAACAGUGAGAUCCUUUGGGAUAUGUGUAAACUUUUCCAAAUGUUCUUGCCACAGAUCUCAGAACAGCACUCAGCUCACUCUGAUGAAGUUGUCUCACGUUCCCUAACACAAACAAAUUUUUAAUAAUCUUUUAAUAUUUUUAUAAUUUUUUUUGUGCAUGUCAGCAUAAUCUUGAAAAUGAUGCUGAGAAAUAAUGAAAACCAAACUAACCCUUGUUCAUGCCAGCUGACUGGAAAAUCCUACUAAGAGUGCUUUGUCUCCAUGAAAGGCAAAAUAACAGAAUAGCAAUCAUGGUAACAGUAUGCACUAGGAGUGGAGCCAGGAGAGUAAAGAGGAGAGUUAGCAGUAGCAGAUGACUUCACUUAUUGGAAAAAAGGGGCAAAAUAACUCCAUCUCAAAUGAAUUUAAAUAUUUGAAUUUUGUUAUCAGCAGUAUUGGGCAUAGCUUCCCCAGCUAAUUGCUCAACAGUCUGGUAUGUCCAUGAACAUCCCUUGGUGCAGCUUUCAUCAGUGUCUCACCACUUAUCCUCUUUGGCAUCCUUCUUGGCACAGGCUCUCUUUGUCUCUCACCCCUUUACAGAAAUGGGGUCAUCUCCCCUCUGCCCCUUAACUCAUGCUGACAUUCUCUGUACCCCACACUUGCUGCCCUGAGAGUGCCCAGCAGCACAGAUCCUGCCUGACAGAGCUCUAAAAUUCACCAUUCUUCUUCGUAAACAUUUGGCAGCAGAGCAGAUGCAAAGACUUUGUAAAGGUUUUUAAGUUCAAAUUCUUUUUAUCUUAGCGAGGGUUAACAGAGCCAAACUGUAUAUCUUUCCCUCUCUUGCCUUGGAGAUGAGAAUAUGCAGAACUACACUGAGUAUGAAUUAGAGUAAGUCGCAGAAUCACAGAAUGGGGCGGGUUGGAAGGGCCCACAGUGGGUCAUCUGGUCCAACCUCCCUGCUCCAGAAGGGUCAUCCCAGAGCACGUGGCACAGGGUUGUGUCCAGAUGGUUCUUGAAUGUCUCCAGUGUGGGAGACUCCACAUCUUCUUUGGGCAGCCUGUUCCAGUGGUUGGUCAACCCAGGCCCAUUUCCUCCUUUCCCAGGACUGUUACAAGCAGUUUUGGUUGCCAUAUAUAGCAGUAAGGAAGCCAGGCUGUUAGCUUAGGUUGUAAGGCUCUUCUACCUAUUUCCACAAAUUCUGUCACCCUUGACACAUUUCACCUUAAGCCAGGCAGUAUUUUUACAUGAACUGAAGUUUUGUUUCCUAGUACUAUUUUCAAUCCGAGAUGUGCAGUCCUUUUAGAUAUACGACUUGAUUUUUAAGUAAUUGUUUUUUUAACAAACCUUUUCUGUUCUGGAGCUAUCCAGGUAAUAAAAACUCUUUCUUAAAUCAAGUUAUAAUGAUCAAACUUUAAAUAUUUUUGUGUUGCAUUCAUAUUACUGGAAAUUUCACUCCAUGCUCCCCAAGCGGGGUGUCUAAUUUGAAAAAAAAAAGGGAGUGUAGAGUGAAACCUCUCAAACUGUUCUUUUCUUGCUUGAUGUGUUAAUCCUUUUAGGUUAUAAUAGCGGUAACAUUUGAACCUAUCUCAAGUCAAAUCCAGCUAACUUUGAUUUUGUAAUGGCUCGAUUGUGUAAGCACCGGACUUGUUAUUUUGCUGUUCUUUCUCUAGGUAAAGUGGUUUUGAUGCAGUCUCAGGCUUUGUGUCAAUAUCAGUGUUUUAGAAUCAAAGUCAUCAAAUAGUCUGCUUUCAGCUCUGUGACUCUCCACAGUGAGAAACUUAAACCUUUAAACUAUUAUGUAUUACAAAAUUUAACAGUUAUUUUUACAUGUGGCACGGGGUCUGUGGGAAAAAGCACUGCACUGUACUGGUAUUCAUUUAGGGCUGUGCCUUAAGAUACUCUUUCAGAGGCUGUAGUUUCAGCAGUUUGUUAAACAUAAUGAUUCGGUAUCACUCAGUGAACUUAGAAGAACUUAAUGUCAUACACUUAAAGAACUUAAUGCAAAUUGGGAUUUAGAACUGGCCCUAGAAAGACCUGAAGGACGCAGCAGGAAGCAAUAUAAAAAUGAACAAAUCUUGCAGCUAAUUUAAGGGACAAGCCUUGGAGUAGCCACUGUUUAUGCUGAGUUUCAGAUUAAACUCUUACUGACAAAUGCUCAUAAUUUUCAGGAAAAUUCUUUUUCAGCUGCCACUAUCUUCAUACUGGGUCUCAGUUCCAAUUUAUUUUAAGCUUCUUAACUGGUAAUAAACAGCUCAGUAGUUCUAAUUUUACUGUUCACAAAUUGAAAAGUAUCUGAUGGAAAGGCACUACAAACAAAGCAUGUAGAGUGCUCCUCCUUGGGAACCUAGUCCAUCAGAAGGACUGGAAGUUUUCAAACUUAAGAGCUUGUAAUCAUUUCUGAAACUUCUGAAUGCAUUUGUUUUGUCUCUGCAUGAAUUUUAAAAAUUUAAUGAAAACUUGCGGUAGAAGACUUUAGUGAAAUAUAUAUUCUUGCUAUUAAUGCGGCAGAUAAGAUUU
Long non-coding RNA from Pseudopipra pipra, 7809 nucleotides. RefSeq lists it as uncharacterized. Lineage: Eukaryota; Metazoa; Chordata; Aves; Passeriformes; Pipridae. The transcript is spliced from 2 exons. The record is from RefSeq and is a predicted model, not a curated record.